RNAcentral lists this ribosomal RNA (482 nucleotides) under uncultured bacterium. Its description in RNAcentral is "SSU rRNA". It matches the Rfam family "Bacterial small subunit ribosomal RNA", at positions 26 to 523 of the family's 1533-position model. The record is from RNAcentral.
AGGACGAACGCUGGCGGCGUGCUUAACACAUGCAAGUCGAGCGACGCUCCUCCUUCGGGAGGAUGACGGAGCGGCGAACGGGUGAGUAACACGUGGGCAACCUGCCCCUAGCUCUGGGAUAACCCCGGGAAAUCGGGACUAAUACCGGAUAUGAAGUCGGACGGCAUCGUCUGACUUGGAAAGUUUUUCGGCUAGGGAUGGGCCCGCGGCCUAUCAGCUUGUUGGUGGGGUAAUGGCCUACCAAGGCGACGACGGGUAGCCGGCCUGAGAGGGCGACCGGCCACACUGGGACUGAGACACGGCCCAGACUCCUACGGGAGGCAGCAGUGGGGAAUAUUGCACAAUGGGCGAAAGCCUGAUGCAGCGACGCCGCGUGAGGGAUGACUGCCUUCGGGUUGUAAACCUCUUUCAGCAGGGACGAAGCGAAAGUGACGGUACCUGCAGAAGAAGCACCGGCAACUACGCGCCAGCAGCCGCGGUAA